RNAcentral lists this ribosomal RNA (331 nucleotides) under uncultured bacterium. RNAcentral's name for it is "bacterial SSU rRNA". It matches the Rfam family "Bacterial small subunit ribosomal RNA", at positions 570 to 898 of the family's 1533-position model. The record is from RNAcentral.
CGUAGGCGGUUUUUUAAGUCAGAUGUGUAAUCCCCGAGCUUAACUUGGGAACUGCAUCUGAGACUGGAAGGCUAGAGUACUGGAGAGGGUGGUGGAAUUCCUACGUGUAGCGGUGAAAUGCGUAGAGAUGAGGAGGAACACCAGUGGCGAAGGCGGCCACCUGGACAGUAACUGACGCUGAGGCGCGAAAGUGUGGGUAGCAAACAGGAUUAGAUACCCUGGUAGUCCACGCUGUAAACGAUGAACACUUGGUGUGGAGGGAGUUGACCCCUUCCGUGCCGGAGCUAACGCGUUAAGUGUUCCGCCUGGGGAGUACGGUCGCAAGGCUGAA